UACGUAGGUGGCAAGCGUUGUCCGGAUUUAUUGGGCGUAAAGCGCGCGUAGGCGGCUACUUAAGUCGGAUGUGAAAGCCCCUGGCUCAACUGGGGAAGUGCACCCGAAACUGAGUAGCUAGAGUGCAAAAGAGGGUCGCGGAAUUCCCGGUGUAGAGGUGAAAUUCGUAGAUAUCGGGAGGAACACCGGUGGCGAAGGCGGCGACCUGGGUUGACACUGACGCUGAGGCGCGAAAGCGUGGGGAGCAAACAGG
RNAcentral lists this ribosomal RNA (253 nucleotides) under uncultured bacterium. Its description in RNAcentral is "partial 16S ribosomal RNA". It matches the Rfam family "Bacterial small subunit ribosomal RNA", at positions 524 to 776 of the family's 1533-position model. The record is from RNAcentral.